Homo sapiens (human) is the source of this 723-nucleotide long non-coding RNA. Lineage: Eukaryota; Metazoa; Chordata; Mammalia; Primates; Hominidae. The record is from Ensembl.
UUGGAUUUAAGACAAAAAGCAAGUCCCCCAUGAGUGUCCACUUCUUUGCCCUGCCCUCUCAGCUUGUGAGACAACACAGGAGCCUUCUAUAGUAUGUUGAUAUGCUAGAUCUGUGCCGUUAAUAGGCAUCGUCUCUCAGCCUGAGGGAGGCUGGAUUCUGGGUUCCUGUAGUCACAGGGAGGAAAAGCUUUCUUAAAAAUGGACAUGUAUGUGCGUGUGAGUGUGUGUGUAGAUUUAUAGUUUUUGGUAGUGGCAGGAAUAAAAAAAAUCCAUCCUACAUCUUCCCUAAGCACUGCCUCUCUCUCACCCCCCAAAACAAGUUGACGAAAGGGUUUUAUGUAGCUGUCUAUGAGGAAUUGGCCGUGUCUGGGUGGGUUAUGGGAUGUGGGCAUCCCUGGGUUCUUGGAAGCAGCUCUUAUGCUACUCAUAGAGAUGGGAUUGACUUUAUUUUUUUAUAGUGCUUAAUUCACCAUUAUGAGAAAUGCUUCCAGUCACAAAAAUGCAGCCCAGCUCACUCUGAGGAAGAAGCAGGACUUGCUGUUCUCUGGUCCACCAAGGGCUAUGAGGCUCACCCCUUGGAUGGUGCUCAGAACCACAAGGAAUACUGAAGAAGCCUUGCCUAUGAUUUCAGGUGGCAUCAGACAUUGGGCUAAUUUUCAAGGUGUCUCUCCUUCCCAACAGGACAGUCGGAGUCUGGUUCUUUAAUAAAUAGCUAUAUGGAUC